ACGUAGGGUGCGAGCGUUAAUCGGAAUUACUGGGCGUAAAGCGUGCGCAGGCGGAUUGUUAAGCAAGACGUGAAAUCCCCGGGCUUAACCUGGGAAUGGCGUUUUGAACUGGCAGUCUAGAGUGCGUCAGAGGGGGGUGGAAUUCCACGUGUAGCAGUUAAAUGCGUAGAGACGUGGAGGAACACCGAUGGCGAAGGCAGCCCCCUGGGACAUGACUGACGCUCAGGUACGAAAGCGUGGGGAGCAAACAG
Molecule: ribosomal RNA, 251 nt
Filed under: uncultured prokaryote
Description: partial 16S ribosomal RNA
Rfam family: Bacterial small subunit ribosomal RNA
Source: RNAcentral